GGUAGUGAGAGAGAGGGGGUGCUGGUGGUGGUGAGAGAGACCCGCGGAGGCGGGGAGAGACGGGAGAGAGGAGCCCCGAGGAACGGCGUCGCGGCCGGGAAUCAAGCGCAGGGCGACAGAGCAAGAGAGAGAGAGAGAGGCGAGCGCAGUGGGUUUGGAGAGGAUGCGCGUGCUGCUGAUGGUUGCAGUCUUCACGGUCGUGUCCGCAGUGGGUCGAGGUUGGGCCAAUCCCAUCGCUGUGCAGAUGCGCGCUCCACACGGACGCAGGCUCCACGCGCCCCGCCUCCGCUCCCCGCUCACCGGGACGUCGCUGCUGCCCGCCACCUCCGACGUGUGGGUUGGAACCCGGGGCCGGGCUGCCCGUGGGGUUCCGGCCGGGUGGGCGAGAGCCGGAGGCGUUUCAGCGGCCCCCGCCGCCGCCGCCGCGGCCGCCGCCGCCGGGGGCCCCGCUGGGAAAUCUCCAUCGAGCUUCAGAAACCGCUCCGAUCGCGGCUUCUACAGGCAGCAGCAGCAGCAGCACCGUCACGGCUCGGCGCCUCUGACGAGGAGCAGGGGACACCUCAAGGACGGGUGCUUCGGCCUCAAGAUUGACCGCAUCGGGGCCAUGUCCGGACUGGGUUGCAAGCGAGGCAAGAGCCACGGAUGACGGAGUUGGUCGAUGGCGCCUUCACGCGGCAACGGCACCGUGCUGCAGCUAAACGAACCACGUGCGACUCGUCCUCAGUACACUCACACUCACAGUGUACACACACACUCACAGUGCACACACUCACACUCACAGUACACGCUCACAGUACACGCGCAGUACACGACUCGUGCGUGCACGGCCUCACGCGCGCACAGCACAAAGGCAAUCGGACGGCUCACUGUGGGGGUUCGCGUGUUGGGAUACUUCGCGUCUGUGGCGUUGUGGGGGGGGGCCGGCCCCCCCGGGGGUGGG
Non-coding RNA from Petromyzon marinus (sea lamprey), 940 nucleotides. The record is from RefSeq and is a predicted model, not a curated record. NCBI's taxonomy places the organism in Eukaryota, Metazoa, Chordata, Hyperoartia, Petromyzontiformes, Petromyzontidae.